CACGUGCUACAAUGGCGCAUACAAAGAGAAGCGACCUCGCGAGAGCAAGCGGAUCUCAUAAAGUGCGUCGUAGUCCGGAUUGGAGUCUGCAACUCGACUCCAUGAAGUCGGAAUCGCUAGUAAUCGUGGAUCAGAAUGCCACGGUGAAUACGUUCCCGGGCCUUGUACACACCGCCCGUCACACCAUGGGAGUGGGUUGCAAAAGAAGUAGGUAGCUUAACCUUCGGGAGGGCGCUUACCACUUUGUGAUUCAUGACUGGGGUGAAGUCGUAACAAGGUAACCGUAGGGGAACCUGCGGUUGGAUCACCUCCUUACCUUAAAGAAGC
This 327-nucleotide ribosomal RNA is filed under the name Escherichia coli. RNAcentral's name for it is "bacterial SSU rRNA". It matches the Rfam family "Bacterial small subunit ribosomal RNA", at positions 1219 to 1533 of the family's 1533-position model. The record is from RNAcentral. Lineage: Bacteria; Pseudomonadati; Pseudomonadota; Gammaproteobacteria; Enterobacterales; Enterobacteriaceae.